Molecule: long non-coding RNA, 1068 nt
Organism: Capsicum annuum
Lineage: Eukaryota; Viridiplantae; Streptophyta; Magnoliopsida; Solanales; Solanaceae
Exons: 2
Source: RefSeq, a predicted model, not a curated record
UCGUGCCGGUGCUAACACUAGGUAAUGGGUAUAUAUGCCACUUUUGUUAAAAACAUCACAAAAAAUUAUUUGUAAUCACAUUUCGUGUGAGGUGAUUUUUCUUUGCUAAUAAGUCCUUCGCAUGCAGAUUUCACAAACUUAGAGGUAAUGCAAAAAGGCUUAAUUGGCUAAUACGGAAUCCUCUCAUAUCGUGGACCAGUAAGAAUCAUACUGUGAUUCUCUCUCUCUGAAUAUAUCUCUAUUUGACUUAUGUGGUGUUCAAUCCUUUUUGCAUAUCAUUUACUUAAUGAUUCUAAUGCCUUCUAAAAUAAUGUGAAUUUUCUUGUAAUAAGUCCCGUGCCUUGUAUCAAAAAUUUCGUGCAUUUUUGUUUGUAAAAGCAAGUCUUAUUUAAAAAUGGUAAUUUUAAGAAUCCUUUUACUAAACAAAUACUAUGUCAUCAAAACUUCUCUUGGAAGAAUUUUUUUUGCUUUUUUGAUAGUAAUGCACUUUCUUCCGUUUUCGAAGAAGUGUAAAAGUGUCUUUAAUUUAAUGCAUGAGAUAUUGAUGUAUGCGCUUUUUCAUUCUUGCUUCUCCUAUUUUAAAUUUCUUAGGCAACUUAUCGUCUUCAACUUCCCCUCUCUUGUCCUAUAUAAUUCUCUCAAAACCUCCGUCUUUUCUCUAUUUUUUCUUCUCUUCUUCGUAGCUAAGCACUCUAAAACUCCUCCCUCUGGUAGCUGUAAAAAGCACCCGUUUUAAAGGGAGAAAAGGCAGUCCAGUCUCACCAGUCCCGUUGGAUUCUGAUGUCUUCCUUCAAAACCUUUACCCUCGACUGAUUCCUCUGGCUCCUUUCUGGGUAAUCAAGGAGGCCACCCAAGAUAGCUGCCAAGAUUCAGACCAUCACAAGUUCGCUCUCUUCAGUAAUCACAAGUCAGUUCACAAGCUUGAAGGAUGCUGCUGCUCAGACAUUAGCUUACUUCUUUUCUCGUCUUGGCAAUCCCCCUCCUGCUACUUGAAUGCUUUUUAAGACUUUUUCGUUGUAUCUGGGCGUAAACUCAUGAAUGCUUUAUUUUUGUGGUUCUUCCUUUUAU